UCCGUUAUGGUGAAGUGGCAUUAUCGCCUCAUUGAUGUAUAGCUGGUCAGUUGUUUGCGCGAUAGCCCAGGGUUCGAUUCCCUGUAACGGAA
This is a non-coding RNA of Marasmius oreades (fairy-ring Marasmius), 92 nucleotides long. The record is from the annotation of a RefSeq genome assembly. NCBI's taxonomy places the organism in Eukaryota, Fungi, Basidiomycota, Agaricomycetes, Agaricales, Marasmiaceae.